GAUGAAGAACGUAGCGAAAUGCGAUACGUAAUGUGAAUUGCAGAAUUCAGUGAAUCAUCGAAUCUUUGAACGCCUAUUGCGAUCUCUGGUAUUCCGGAGAGCAUGCUUGUUUGAGUAUCAGUAAACACCUCAACUUCCAUAUCUUUUUUGAAAUGGGAGUUGGACUUGAGUGAUCCCAACGCUUUUCCUCACCGAAAAGUGGCGGGUUACUUGAAAUGCAGGUGCAGCUGGACUUUUCUCUGAGCUAUAAGCAUAUCUAUUUAGUCUGCCUAAAAAACAGAUUAUUACCUUUGCUGCAGCUAACAUAAAGGAGAUUAGUUCUUGUGCUGACUGAUGCAGGAUUCACAAAGACGGCUUCGGCCGACUUUGUAAACUCGAUCUCAAAUCAAGUAAGACUACCCGCUGAACUUAAGCAUAUCAAUAAGCGGAGGA
This 432-nucleotide unclassified non-coding RNA is filed under the name soil metagenome. RNAcentral's name for it is "partial contains 5.8S ribosomal RNA, internal transcribed spacer 2, and large subunit ribosomal RNA". The stretch from base 1 to 120 matches the Rfam family "5.8S ribosomal RNA", at positions 35 to 154 of the family's 154-position model. The record is from RNAcentral.